Molecule: ribosomal RNA, 467 nt
Filed under: uncultured bacterium
Lineage: Bacteria
Description: partial 16S ribosomal RNA
Rfam family: Bacterial small subunit ribosomal RNA
Source: RNAcentral
ACGAACGCUGGCGGCGUGCUUAACACAUGCAAGUCGAACGGAAAGGCCCUGCUUUUGUGGGGUGCUCGAGUGGCGAACGGGUGAGUAACACGUGAGUAACCUGCCCUUGACUUUGGGAUAACUUCAGGAAACUGGGGCUAAUACCGGAUAGGAGCUCCUGCUGCAUUGUGGGGGUUGGAAAGUUUCGGCGGUUGGGGAUGGACUCGCGGCUUAUCAGCUUGUUGGUGGGGUAGUGGCUUACCAAGGCUUUGACGGGUAGCCGGCCUGAGAGGGUGACCGGCCACAUUGGGACUGAGAUACGGCCCAGACUCCUACGGGAGGCAGCAGUGGGGAAUAUUGCACAAUGGGCGGAAGCCUGAUGCAGCAACGCCGCGUGCGGGAUGACGGCCUUCGGGUUGUAAACCGCUUUCGCCUGUGACGAAGCGUGAGUGACGGUAAUGGGUAAAGAAGCACCGGCUAACUACGUG